GACGAACGCUGGCGGCGUGCUUAACACAUGCAAGUCGAACGGAGAACGCGUGCUCUUGCUCGCUCCUCGACUGUCGAACAGGUGUGUAAAACACGUGUAACCUCUCCCUCGAACUCGGGUAUAUUCAGUGAAAACGACGUCUAAUACCGGAGACGCCCCGGCUGGGCGUCCUGUCCGGGGGGAAAUCACGGCGGGGCGGGUUGGGCUCGCGGCCUAUCAGCUUGUUGGUGAGGUAGCGGCUUACCAAGGCGGAGACGGGUAGCCGGCCUGAGAGGGUGACCGGCCACACUGGGACUGAGAUACGGCCCAGACUCCUACGGGAGGCAGCAGUGGGGAAUAUUGCACAAUGGGCGGAAGCCUGAUGCAGCAACGCCGCGUGCGGGAUGACGGCCUUCGGGUUGUAAACCGCUUUCGGCUGUGAAGAAGCGUGAGUGACGGUACUGGGAGAAGAAGCACCGGCUAACUACGUG
Molecule: ribosomal RNA, 470 nt
Filed under: uncultured bacterium
Lineage: Bacteria
Description: partial 16S ribosomal RNA
Rfam family: Bacterial small subunit ribosomal RNA
Source: RNAcentral